UUAAAUGGGAGGUAAUAUUUAACAGAUUUUUUCAGGUUAAUAAUAAUGAAGAAAUGCAUGUGAAAUUACAGAAAUCGUUGGUCAUUGGGUUUUCUUUAAAAUUGUGAUUUUAUGUUUUUUAAACUAAUUAGUAGUAUUUGUACAGACACAAAAGUAAUUUAUUAUUGGGAAUAAACAGCAGAAAGGAUGCACCCAUGCUUCCCCUGGCAGGACAGAAAUAUCUAUAUGGUCCAGUGCCUCUUUAAUGACUUCAAUGCAUGUAUUGUCACCAAGCCUGCCUCACGUUUAAAAAAAAUAGUCAAGAGUCUAAACUUUAUGUAACACCUUUUAUUCCAUAUUACAAAAACAUUGGGCCAGUAUCAAAAGUGCUGUGUUGAAAUUUUUAAAACAGACAAUGGUCUGUUAAUUACUGUGUUAACAGCUCUAAAACAAAAAAAAUGCCAACAUAAUAGUCAAUAGCCAACUGUCUUUCUAUGAGUCUGUGACCUUCAUGAACUUCAGGGGACUCUGGGGCUCUUGACUUCUGGAUCUCUUCUAGACAAACCGAUGCUACCAUGCACAUUAUCCUCCUUGGAGAUAGAGAACAUACAUUUAUUGAGACAUGGUUGAGGUGUAUUUGUCUUCACAAGAAUGGAUGGUGGAUACAAGUUCUAUUCAUCAUUGCCCAUUAAACAGAACUUUGUUAUGUUUUAGUACAAUAUAUAGUUGAGUUGUACUUGUUUACUUAGAGUUGUUUAACUGUAAAUGUAAGCACCUAUUGUAAGUAAGGAAAGAAACUGUUCUUAUGACGUGAGGUUUUGGUCUUGAUGGACCGCAGUCUUCUGUGUGUCCAGGGUGGGAGGGGUCGGCCACAAUCUUCCUCGCUCGCCUCAGGGUCCUCGAGCUGUGCAGGUUCUUGAGGGUAGGCAUAUUGCAGCCGAUCACCUUCUCAGCAGUGCAGAUGAUACGCUGCUGCCACUGCCAAGGACAAGAGCAGACUGCAGCGUAUCAUCCGAUGGAUGAUCUGAUCAUAACAGAUCAGUGAUGGAAGAGGUGAGGAUGGACUCAAUGAUGGCUGUGUAGAAUGCACCAUAGUUGUCUUUGGCAAGUUUAAUUUCUUCCGCUGCCGCAUGAAGUAAAUCCUCUGUUGUGCUUUCUUGGUGAGGGAGCUGAUGUUCAGUUCCCACUUGAGGUCCUGGGAGAGGAUAGUGCCCAGGAAGCGGAAGGACUCCACAGGGUUUACUGGGGCUGUAUUCUUAGUAGUCCACAAACAUCUCCACUGUCUUAAGAGCAUUAGCUCUUGGUUGUUCUGGCUACACAAGGUCACCAGGUUAUUUUAACUACUGAUAGUGGUAGGUUAUCUUGCUAACACAUAUCCAAAAAUGCACAGUGUCCAAAACACUAAGAACAUUAUUCUAGUUUUCUAAUACUUUACCAUUGUGUUGGCCGGUAGGAUUUGUAACGCAAAUAGGCCUAAUGUCAGUUUUCUGGUCAUUUCCACAAAAUUAUGCAUAAAGUAACUCUGCGAUUGGGGCCACUAUAAAAUGCAUUCUGAGUAAAACCUUUCACUUUGGCACCAACCUUUUAGUCCAGCAUAUGAUCUGGACAAGUCAUGGGAUAAAGCCCCAGUUUAUAAAAAAGUAACUUAUUUGUUGCACAAAUUUACCCUGUAACCAACACAGAAAUGUAUGAUAUGACUUGUGCUUGGUUUGGAAAGAUGUACAUUUUUUCGAACAUAUAGGGGUACAAAUGCAAUAAGAAAGAUGUCAGUGUGUGACCCAUGGUGUGACCAAAUUUAUGUUGGGGGAUGGGAUGACUACUGCCUCAGGGCUGUCAAGGAAUUUCCUAGGAGAUUAGAAACAGUAAGUCUAUUGUUAUUAAUGCUAGUAAACAGAAAACUCUGUGAAAUCAACAAUGAACUGUCCAAUAUAAUAAUUGGACAGUAAAUUGGACAGUAAAAAUAUUUAUCUCGGAGACAACAUUGAAUGUUGAUUUUUGAAUGAGGAAGGUUCACACAUGCGCAGUGGUUGUAGCAGUAGCACUUUGCUUCUCCCAACUGUCACUGCCGCACAUGGCGCGAAAACCGGAGAAGAAUGGAGGUUUCAGCUGCUCCAGAAGUUAUAGGAUUCAGGAAUUAUACUGACUGAAGAAGAGACAAAGAGAUUCAGAGAUUUACAUUUUCUCACACUCUACAUUGUCACCUGGAGUCAGCUCUGUAACCGUGGCCCCAAGUUUUUGUGAUUUACAUUUUCUCACACUACAUUGUCACCUGGAGUCAGCUCUGUAACCGUGGGCCCAAGUUUUUGUGAUUUACAUUUUCUCACACUACAUUGUCACCUGGAGUCAGCUCUGUAACCGUGGGCCCAAGUUUUUGUGAUUUACAUUUUCUCACACUACAUUGUCACCUGGAGUCAGCUCUGUAACCGUGGGCCCAAGUUUUUGUGGAAAUGGCUGAGACCGAUUUCCUCAGUGCCAUGGAGAGAACGACAGUGGGGAUCUAUGUUGUGAAAGACACUGCCAGCAGUGAACCCUCUGAUGUCAGGAUAGUCCUCGAAGGUGUGAUGGUGCUUCAAGAUCUUGAGAAUGUAGCACUUGCUUCUGCAAUGUUGUUUGGGCUCUUAUGCCUUGAACAUGCAGCACCCUACAAAGCUCCGCUACACCUUUGAGGCAUUUCAAAAGAUCAUCAUGGAGCCUCAGCAUCAGACACUUAAUAAUAUGAGCCUGUCAGCUGCAAAAACAGAACUUUUAGUGACACUAACUGACCAUGCACAGUUGCCCUAUAUAACGUUGCAGCCCGGUUCACAGCAAUCUUGCUCAAUGCUGGACCAAUUUUCAUGAAUUAACCACUAGAUAGCCUAAAUUUAUAUUGAUUGGCUGUAAAUGUAGCUGUUUUUUAAGUAUGCUUGUUUUUCCACUGUCCAAUUAACAUUUUUAUAUCUAUAAUUUCUUUAAAUUGACUGAUUAAUACUGUAAAUGUGCUGACAUUCCUUUUUGAUUAAAAGUACAUAUUCAGUA
This is a long non-coding RNA of Osmerus eperlanus (European smelt), 2994 nucleotides long. RefSeq lists it as uncharacterized. The record is from RefSeq and is a predicted model, not a curated record. The transcript has 6 exons. NCBI's taxonomy places the organism in Eukaryota, Metazoa, Chordata, Actinopteri, Osmeriformes, Osmeridae.